Octopus sinensis (East Asian common octopus) is the source of this 596-nucleotide long non-coding RNA. RefSeq lists it as uncharacterized. The record is from RefSeq and is a predicted model, not a curated record. Lineage: Eukaryota; Metazoa; Mollusca; Cephalopoda; Octopoda; Octopodidae. The transcript has 4 exons.
AGAAAAGCACUGGUGUGUGUGUAUGAAAGUGUGUGUGUUUGUGUGUGUGUGGAUGAAUGUGUGCCUUUAAGCGAGGCACAGAUAGAUUGGUAGAACUAUGAACAGAGAAAGAUAUAGACAGAUGGAUAAAGAUAACAACACUCCGAACCAACCAAGAUCGGACAGAUGAUGAAAUGCAUUCUAUCCGUGACCAGCCUGACUUUUCGUAUAUCAAGAAUUACAUCUAAUAUGGCUUCCCUUUUAAAGGCAAUAGAGAAAAAUUUUAGGGAUAUUUGGCUAGUAUUUCUGGCAGGAACAUCUUGAUGUAUUGGUGAACAGUCAACAGUGUAGGAGAGCACAAAGAUUACAGUUGUAGUUGAGAAAAAGUUAGCUGACAUGGAGGACCGGAAGUUUCUAUCUACCAAAUUCACUCACAAGGCUUUGAAUGGUCCAGAGUUAUAGUAGACACUUGCCCAAGGUGCCACGCGGUGAGACUGAACCCAAAACCAUGUGGUUGAGAACUUAUUUCACAAGGAGUGACCUAAUAUGAAUACUAAACUACCAAUCUUCAGGAAUACCACUUUUAUAAAACUUAAAACUAUAAAUAAAAAGUAAAU